This 711-nucleotide ribosomal RNA is filed under the name Acinetobacter johnsonii. RNAcentral's name for it is "bacterial SSU rRNA". It matches the Rfam family "Bacterial small subunit ribosomal RNA", at positions 797 to 1533 of the family's 1533-position model. The record is from RNAcentral. Lineage: Bacteria; Pseudomonadati; Pseudomonadota; Gammaproteobacteria; Moraxellales; Moraxellaceae.
GGACGGUCGAUGUCUACUAGCCGUUGGGGCGUUUGAGCGCUCUUAAUUGGCUGCAGCUACGCGAUAAGUACACCGCCUGGGGAGUACGGUCGCAAGACUAAAACUCAAAUGAAUUGACGGGGGCCCGCACAAGCGGUGGAACAUGUGGUUUAAUUCGAUGCAACGCGAAGAACCUUACCUGGCCUUGACAUACUAAGAACUUUCCAGAGAUGGAUUGGUGCCUUCGGGAACUUAAAUACAGGUGCUGCAUGGCUGUCGUCAGCUCGUGUCGUGAGAUGUUGGGUUAAGUCCCGCAACGAGCGCAACCCUUUUCCUUAUUUGCCAGCGGGUAAUGCCGGGAACUUUAAGUGAUACUGCCAGUGACAAACUGGAGGAAGGCGGGGACGACGUCAAGUCAUCAUGGCCCUUACGGCCAGGGCUACACACGUGCUACAAUGGUCGGUACAAAGGGUUGCUACCUCGCGAGAGGAUGCUAAUCUCAAAAAGCCGAUCGUAGUCCGGAUCGCACUCUGCAACUCGACUGCGUGAAGUCGGAAUCGCUAGUAAUCGCGGAUCAGAAUGCCGCGGUGAAUACUUUCCCGGGCCUUGUACACACCGCCCGUCACACCAUGGGAGUUUGUUGCACCAAAAGUAGGUAGUCUAACCGCAAGGAGGACGCUUACCACGGUGUGGCCGAUGACUGGGGUGAAUCAAAAGGGGGGAAACAACAAA